RNAcentral lists this ribosomal RNA (443 nucleotides) under uncultured bacterium. RNAcentral describes it as "partial 16S ribosomal RNA". It matches the Rfam family "Bacterial small subunit ribosomal RNA", at positions 338 to 795 of the family's 1533-position model. The record is from RNAcentral.
CCUACGGGAGGCAGCAGUGGGGAAUAUUGGGCAAUGGGCGCAAGCCUGACCCAGCAACGCCGCGUGAAGGAAGAAGGCUCUCGGGUUGUAAACUUCUUUUCUCAGGGACGAAGCAAGUGACGGUACCUGAGGAAUAAGCCACGGCUAACUACGUGCCAGCAGCCGCGGGAAUACGUAGGGGGCAGGCGUUAUCCGGAUUCACUGGGUGUAAAGGGUGUGUAGGCCGGACUGCAAGUCAGAUGUGAAAACCACGGGCUCAACCUGUGGCCUGCAUUUGAAACUGUAGUUCUUGAGUACUGGAGAGGCAGACGGAAUGCGUAGUGUAGCGGUGAAAUGCGUAGAUAUUAGGAGGAACACCGGUGGCGAAGGCGGUCUGCUGGACAGCAACUGACGCUGAGGCGCGAAAGCGUGGGGAGCAAACAGGAUUAGAUACCCUAGUAGUC